CCUGAGCGCUGGCGGCGUGGCUAAGACAUGCAAGUCGUACGGGCGCAGCAAUGCGCCAGUGGCGGACGGGUGAGUAAAGUAUCGCUAACGUGCCCCUGAGUCCGGGAUAGCCGAGGGAAACUUCGGGUAAUACCGGGUGACACCACCUUCGGGCAUCCGAGGGUGUUCAAAGGCGAAAGCCGCUGAGGGAGCGGGGCGAUAUCGUAUCAGCUGGUUGGCGGGGUAACGGCCCACCAAGGCGACGACGCGUAGCCGGACUGAGAGGUUGGCCGGCCACAUUGGGACUGAGACACUGCCCAGACUCCUACGGGGGGCUGCAGUAACGAAUCUUCCGCAAUGCACGCAAGUGUGACGGAGCGACGCCGCGUGUGGGACGAAGCCCCGUCGGGUGUAAACCACUGUCAGGGGGCAGCCAAGUUCUGAGGCGCCCCAGAGGAAGGCACGGCUAACUCUGUGCCA
Molecule: ribosomal RNA, 459 nt
Filed under: uncultured bacterium
Lineage: Bacteria
Description: bacterial SSU rRNA
Rfam family: Bacterial small subunit ribosomal RNA
Source: RNAcentral